This 84-nucleotide transfer RNA is filed under the name Waddliaceae bacterium. RNAcentral describes it as "tRNA-Leu". It matches the Rfam family "tRNA". From Rfam's summary of the family: Transfer RNA (tRNA) molecules are approximately 80 nucleotides in length. Their secondary structure includes four short double-helical elements and three loops (D, anti-codon, and T loops). Further hydrogen bonds mediate the characteristic L-shaped molecular structure. tRNAs have two regions of fundamental functional importance: the anti-codon, which is responsible for specific mRNA codon recognition, and the 3' end, to which the tRNAs corresponding amino acid is attached (by aminoacyl-tRNA synthetases). tRNAs cope with the degeneracy of the genetic code in two manners: having more than one tRNA (with a specific anti-codon) for a particular amino acid; and 'wobble' base-pairing, i.e. permitting non-standard base-pairing at the 3rd anti-codon position. The record is from RNAcentral. Lineage: Bacteria; Pseudomonadati; Chlamydiota; Chlamydiia; Parachlamydiales; Waddliaceae.
GCUCGGAUGGUGAAAUUGGUAGACACAAGGGACUUAAAAUCCCUCGGCCGCAAGGCUGUGCCGGUUCGAGUCCGGCUCCGAGCA